AAAGGCUCUCUCUCCCUAUCUUUAAAAAAAAAAACUCCACAAAUUGCUGCUAGUACCAAGUGUCCCUUCUUAUCAAGACUGGACGGGUAUUCAAUUUUCUCUUCAAACGCCUGCCUUCUGAAAUGACUGGUAGAAGACUGGAAAUCCUAUUAAAAAGUUGUAUUGACUCCAAGAUGGCUGCCAUUGUGAUAGGACACAACCAGUGGAAGCAAGUGGCUCCCAUGUCAGUGAAGCAGUGAAUCAGCUCUGGGUUUUGGUCCAACUUUUCCAAGGAAAGUCAUUUAACUCUUGGACAAGCCAUUUAACUUCUGAAACACUGCCCCAGGAUCCAUUUCUUGCUAUAAAUACAUAUGCCUGAACAAUACUACAGGAAACUACUGGAAAAGAGAUUCCAUCUCAACAUUAAGAAGAACUUCCUGACAGUAAGAGCUG
Molecule: long non-coding RNA, 432 nt
Organism: Sceloporus undulatus (fence lizard)
Lineage: Eukaryota; Metazoa; Chordata; Lepidosauria; Squamata; Phrynosomatidae
Exons: 3
Source: RefSeq, a predicted model, not a curated record